GAUGAACGCUGGCGGCGUGCCUAAUACAUGCCAGUAGAACGCUGAAGGAGGAGCUUGCUCUUCUGGAUGAGUUGCGAACGGGUGAGUAACGCGUAGGUAACCUGCCUGGUAGCGGGGGAUAACUAUUGGAAACGAUAGCUAAUACCGCAUGACAACAGUUAUUGCAUGAUAACUGUUUAAAAGUGGCACCUGCUCCACUACCAGAUGGACCUGCGUUGUAUUAGCUAGUUGGUGAGGUAACGGCUCACCAAGGCGACGAUACAGAGCCGACCUGAGAGGGUGAUCGGCCAAACUGGGACUUGGACACGGCCCAGAAUCCUAAGGGGGGCAGCAGGAGGGAAACAUCGGCAAUGGACGGAAGUCUGACUGAGGAAAGCCGCGUGAGGGAAGAAGGUUUUCGGAUCGUAAAGCUCUGUUGUAAGGGAAGAAAGAGCGGGAGAGUGGAAAGUUCACGCUGUGACGGUAUCUUAACAGAAAGCGACGGCUAACUACGUG
This 495-nucleotide ribosomal RNA is filed under the name uncultured bacterium. RNAcentral describes it as "partial 16S ribosomal RNA". It matches the Rfam family "Bacterial small subunit ribosomal RNA", at positions 28 to 507 of the family's 1533-position model. The record is from RNAcentral.